CUGCAGACCGUACUGCUACUAUGCAGUAAGAACACCAGAUACUGCUAGUAGCCAAGUAUGCCGAUGGAGGCAUCCAAAGAACCAGCUAGAAUGUCCCCUCAAAGUACAGAGGCAUGUAUUAUCAUCUCUGAUUGUGUUCCUGGAAAGCUUGCAAAUACAAGAUGCAAGGAGGAGGAGCUUAAAAAAUCCAGGUGAACAUACGUGUUUUCUUGCUACAGGGAAGAAAGUUGGAAUGGAUAUCAGCAGAACAAACAGGAGAUAAAACACAGACUACAAUAAACCAUCCUGACACUGGAAAUCUCAUUACAAUUUUGUUCUUAUCAACAGGCUCCAUCUUCACAACUGAAGCAGAGUCAGCUCAAAACUGCUCUCCCUUCUUUACACUGGAUUUUAGUCUGAACCUGUUAUGACACAG
Molecule: long non-coding RNA, 415 nt
Filed under: Gallus gallus (chicken)
Lineage: Eukaryota; Metazoa; Chordata; Aves; Galliformes; Phasianidae
Description: long non-coding RNA NONGGAT005572
Source: RNAcentral